Molecule: RNA transcript, 1617 nt
Organism: Cucurbita maxima (winter squash)
Lineage: Eukaryota; Viridiplantae; Streptophyta; Magnoliopsida; Cucurbitales; Cucurbitaceae
Gene name: histone acetyltransferase type B catalytic subunit-like
Exons: 12
Source: RefSeq, a predicted model, not a curated record
GGUGUGAGAGCUCAGAUAUUUCGGUUUGUCCGGACGAAUUUCCCGCGCCUCCUCUUCAUUAUUCCCGCUCAGUAAACCCUAAUCCAAGAUGGGUCAGAAGCAGCAACCCUCUGCUGAUCCACGCCCCGACAAUAAGAAAAAACGUCGCGUUGCCUUCUCCAACAUCGAUACUGGUAUUCCCGCGAAAGAUUGCAUCAAAAUCUAUCUGGUUUCUACGAAAGAGGAAGUGGGAAGUACAGACAGUCUUUGCAUUGACCCAGUUGACUUGAUCAGCUUCUUUGAAGAUGAGGAUGGAAAGAUUUAUGGUUACCCAGGUUUGAAGAUCACUGUAUGGUUCAGCAUUGCCUCAUUUCAUGCCUACGCUGACAUUGUUUUCGAGAGCACAUCUGAUGGUGGUAAGGGCAUUACAGAUCUGAAGUCUGCACUUCAGAAUAUAUUUGCUGAGACCCUUGUGGACAACAAAGAUGACUUCCUUCAAACUUUUUCAAAGGAUGUCAAUUUUAUUGGAUCCGUUGUUGCUGAUGGAGAAGUAUUACAUCCUAAAGCUUCCUCCAAUGGGCAAUUUAACGAGGCUAAGUUUCAUUUACAAGCAGCCAAUUCUGAUUUGGAGGUGAUCCGAUUGCCUAUGGAUAAGAUGGCUGGAAGAAACCUCUACAGUCGUUUGGUACCUCUUGCUCUUCUUCUUAUUGAUGGCAGCAGCCCGAUCGAUGUCACUGAUCCAAGAUGGGAAUUGUAUGUUCUUUCUCAAAAGAACAAUGGUCAAACUCAUCCUCGACUGCUUGGAUUUGCUGCCCUUUAUCGUUUCUACCACUAUCCCGAUAGUUCUCGUUUGCGUCUGAGUCAGAUGCUUAUACUCCCGCCUUACCAGUGUAAGGGGUUUGGAUGUUUUCUUUUGGAGGUUCUGAAUAACGUUGCAAUAUCGGAAAAUGUUUACGACUUCACCAUUGAAGAGCCAAUAAGUAAGCUACAGCAGUUGCGAACUUGCAUCGAUGUUAAACGUCUGCAGGGAUUCAGCCCCAUCGAAGAGGCUGUCUGUUCUGCCAUUUCGCAAUUUAAACUCGGAAAGCUAUCAAAGAAGAUCUCCUUCCCUCCACUUUUACCGUCACCUGAGGCUAUUGAAGCUGUUAGGAAAAGAUUGAAAAUUACAAAGGAACAGUUCUUACACUGUUGGGAGAUACUAAUCUAUCUAGGUAUCGAACACGACAAGCACAUGGAGGAUUUUAUUCUUGCAGUUUCAAGUCGAAUGCGAGAUGAUUUGAUAGGUGAAACCACAGACGCAGAAGGGAAGCAAUUGGUUGAUGUUCCUACCGAUUAUGAUCAAGAGAUGUCGUUCGUGAUGUUCAGAUCAACGAACAAUGCAACUGGUGUCGAGAUGGAGGAAUCACGAGCUAAUCAAGCGGAACAGCUCAAGAAGUUAGUAGAUGAUAGAGUGAAAGAAAUCAAGUUAAUUGCACAGAAGGUAUCUUCGGAUCAAAUCCGAAGCAUUUCAAAACCGAUCUAGAUGGAGCUCUCUUUUCACAAAAAUCCGUCCCUCUGAUUAACUGGAAAUGAACAUUCGCUAAAAAUAAUGUAUGGUUUAAUUGUUGUAUUUUACAUUUAUUAUAAUCUAACUUUGAU